RNAcentral lists this long non-coding RNA (1147 nucleotides) under Salmo salar (Atlantic salmon). Its description in RNAcentral is "lncRNA (ENSSSAG00000113360.1)". Lineage: Eukaryota; Metazoa; Chordata; Actinopteri; Salmoniformes; Salmonidae. The record is from RNAcentral.
AAAACUUCUUGUGAAGAAUUGAUGACUAAAACAUCUGCCUGUUAUUCAAACAAAGGAUUGGUGUGAUUUGGCAUUUGAUCGUACUGAUUGAUUUGAUUUGUGUUUUGAUAAUGUUUCAUACAUACCCUUAUUUUCUUUAGUGUAGGUUUGUGUGUUUGAGAUGCAUGGAUUUCCUGCAUAGUUUUCCAAUGGUCUCAAAUUGUUCCUAGUUUUAGCACCAUUGUAGCAGCAAUCAACAUAGAGCAAUUACUGUAUUUACACACAUUUCUGUAGUAUUAGUAAUAUUUCAGGUUCACAUGCCAUAGUAGGUUACACUCUACACAUAUCGGUUACUUAGACGUCACUCUGUUUAAUGGACCAUUCACGUGGUGGAUGACUCAGAUGUAGUGUACUGACGUGAAUGAGUCAGAAGGAGUUUUGCAGAGGUCCAACUUUGCUAGUCAUAAACAGUAGUUAAGUUCUAAAAGCCUUCCGUUAGUUUUAAAGUCUUCCGCUGUCUCCUACAUGGGAAAUGAGUAAGUGAUCACGGGAGCCUUGCUUUAUUCACAACACUAGAGAGACUCCUCCUGGACAGAGGAGCAACUGAGGAAGGAUGCGUCCGUUUGGGACAUAAUGACGUCUUCGAAGGGUAAUGGCACCUCCAGGUCCAAAAGAGCUAGCCAGGAACAAGUGAAGAAGCUGGAUGAUGAGAUCUGGGCAAUCCUCUCCAACUUUCCAGCCGGCUCUCCUCCCUUCCCUCCCUCCUCUUCCUCUGAGAGGAAGGUCCCCAGCGCCUCGUAUCGGGCGGGGUCUCGUACCCCCCUGAGGCCCCCCUCUCCUUCUUCCUCCCUCUCUGGUAUCUCCUCCCUGGUACGGCCUACUAGUCCUCAGCCAGCCUCCCCAGGUCACUCUCCUCGACAGCAGUACGCUUUGUUCUACAAAGGUUUCAGCUUGCACCCGGAUGACACGCUCUACUGGCAGCUCCCAGAGCAGUUCAAAGGGGAUAAGGUAACAGUACGAGUCAAGCUCAGCCCUCCUGCACCCUGACUGGGUGUUUACCCUUCGGUUAACCAUUUGGCCACAGAACCACCCCACCAUUCCUCCACUCGAACUAUCAGAGCUGUGGAAGGGAAAUUAAGGGAAGGGCAGCACCACCAGACAACCCUGU